This 427-nucleotide ribosomal RNA is filed under the name uncultured bacterium. RNAcentral's name for it is "partial 16S ribosomal RNA". It matches the Rfam family "Bacterial small subunit ribosomal RNA", at positions 355 to 774 of the family's 1533-position model. The record is from RNAcentral.
UGGGGAAUAUUGAACAAUGGGCGAAAGCCUGAUCCAGCCAUGCCGCGUGUGUGAAGAAGGUCUUCGGAUUGUAAAGCACUUUAAGUUGGGAGGAAGGGCAUUAACCUAAUACGUUAGUGUUUUGACGUUACCGACAGAAUAAGCACCGGCUAACUCUGUGCCAGCAGCCGCGGUAAUACAGAGGGUGCAAGCGUUAAUCGGAAUUACUGGGCGUAAAGCGCGCGUAGGUGGUUUGUUAAGUUGGAUGUGAAAUCCCCGGGCUCAACCUGGGAACUGCAUUCAAAACUGACUGACUAGAGUAUGGUAGAGGGUGGUGGAAUUUCCUGUGUAGCGGUGAAAUGCGUAGAUAUAGGAAGGAACACCAGUGGCGAAGGCGACCACCUGGACUAAUACUGACACUGAGGUGCGAAAGCGUGGGGAGCAAACA